AUCAAACGGAAAAAAAAACAAACAAACAGUGAAAGUUGACUGCUGCAAGCAAAGAGAGAACACAAGAAGCGAAUUCUUUCUCCUAAUGCCUUUCCACCUUCACCAGAAGUUGCUUCAUCUAUCUUUUUGAAGGUUUUGGGGUUGAAUUGAAGCGUUUGGAUCAAUAUAUCGUUGUUUAAUGUUGCAUUUUGUUUCGCUUCUUGCGUAAUGAGUUUCGUUUUUCUGAGAAGCAACCGAUAAAAUUUUCGCACGUUUGGCCCAAAAUCUUGCGCAAAGGAGGUAGAUUUUCCAAAAUUCCUGUCGCACAUGGAAGAAUCAGACAAAUUACAAUCAGAAGAGAAUAAAAUCUCUAUGGAGAAACAUAAGAAGAGAAAACUCAAAACACCUACUCAGGUUUAUGCUUUGGAGAAAUUUUAUAUCGAGCACAAAUAUCCCACUGAGGAAAUGAAAUUAGAACUUGCUGAGGAGUUGGGCUUGACAGAAAAACAAGUAUCUGGAUGGUUUUGCCAUCGAAGGCUAAAAGAUAAAAGAUUGUUGAAAGAUGAAGCUUGUGCUAAUGGGCGACAAGAUAUUUUAAGUGGAGUCAUCCAAGAUCAUGUCAGUGGGCUAGGGCAAGAUUCAUGUGGAAGCACCAAACAUGGUGAUUAUAGGCAUCUUGAUCCCAAAGAGGUUGAAAGUCAUGGCCUUCAUGUGGGUCAUGACCUUUUAGUUUCAGAUGUGGCCUAUGAACGUAGAAAUCAUUAUUCAGAAAAUGUUUGUGCAGUGGAUGACACAGCAUCUGAGAGCAGCUCAUCUUUGCAAGAUCAGGAUCCCUAUGAUGCUGAGCAUUCUGGGUAUCUAACACCUAAAGGAGCUCUGCCAACUAAAAGUCCCAAGUCUGCCUCAAACAUGAGAUAUAAACCAUCAGGCUAUCUUAAAGUAAAAGGGGAGAUAGAAAACCCUGUCAUAACUGCUGUUAAGAAGCAAUUAGGAAGAAAUUACCAAGAAGAUGGUCCGCUACUUGGUAUAGACUUUGAUCCGCUUCCUCCAGGUGCAUUUGAAAGUAAAAUCGUGGAUCUAUUUCAUGAAACAUACUACAUGGCAAAUCGUGGUCUUCACUCUCCUGAAAUUUCUGCUGUGAAAAGGCAACCCAGUCUUUCUGCUAGAUAUGAUUUGUAUAAUACCAAUUUCAAUCCCCAAGAUUCACACAUGGAAGGAGCAGACCUCUCUGAUUUCCAGGAUAAGAAAUCUCGCCAGCUUUCAAAGCAAAGGCCACCUUUGUACAGUCAUACCUUUCGAUUUCCUAACAGAAAUUCUCUGGAUUUGUACGAACGCUCUGUUGGAGAAGCAACUGCAUAUAAUAGCAAAGAGAAUCAUAGAGUUGGCAUCAAGCUUGGCCUUGAAGGGUUGAAAUCUGAUUCUGCAAGUUACCAUAGUGAUCACUAUGAUGGUAAACUUGCAGCAAACCCAAAAGACUCACUGUUGCAUGGCUAUGAUAAUGUCAAUUCAAAGAAUGUACUCAGUGAACAUGUAACACUUAAGCCUUCAAGCUUGAUCAGGAAUCCUUAUGUUUCUAUGGAUACUAAGGAUAGAGGAGGCCUAUCCAGUAGGAUGAUAAAGGAAAAGAAGUCUAGUGAAAAAAUAAAGGCAAGAAAACAAUGUGAUAAUCCAAAUGGACUAAGGAUGCUUUCGCAUGAGUUUUCUUUUAUGGAGAUCAUAGGCUGCAAAACGUCGUGUUGAUCCACCUCAACAAUACAAUGUUAAAGAAGAAUUUGUUGCCGAGAUGCAACUGCAUAAAAGUCAGAGAUCUGCCAUGGAGGUGUCAUCUAGCUUCAGUGAGGAUGAAACUGCCAAUCUCAGCUCGUCUCUCGAUGAAGCAAUCGGUUGCCAUUAACCGGUAGAUAGGGUUUUUUGAGUGGGAGGUUUUUCUAUGUCAUGCCAUGGAUAUGUACAGUGAGUGAGCUGAGAAGCACUCUUUGUAGCCAGCGAGAGCAGUCACAUUGAAGUAUUGUAUCUGUGUGAUGUUUCUGGUAAGGGCCUGUUUGCCAUUGUACAAAAAGAACAAAGCCCGCCCUUAUUUAAGUGAUGAUGUAAAUCUCUUAAUCUGAAGUUGAUUGUGCUAGGAGGUUUUGAAAUGCAUCUUAGUUUGGUUCCA
Prosopis cineraria is the source of this 2134-nucleotide RNA transcript. RefSeq lists it as uncharacterized. The record is from RefSeq and is a predicted model, not a curated record. Lineage: Eukaryota; Viridiplantae; Streptophyta; Magnoliopsida; Fabales; Fabaceae. The transcript has 8 exons.